Molecule: ribosomal RNA, 475 nt
Filed under: uncultured bacterium
Lineage: Bacteria
Description: bacterial SSU rRNA
Rfam family: Bacterial small subunit ribosomal RNA
Source: RNAcentral
GAUGAACGCUGGCGGCGUGCUUAACACAUGCAAGUCGAGCGGAAGUAUAGAUAAAGCUUGCUUUAGAAAUACUUUAGCGGCGGACGGGUGAGUAACGUGUGGGCAACCUGCCUCAUACAGUGGAAUAAUCAUGUGAAAACGUGACUAAUACCGCAUGACAAUUCCGGAAGGCAUCUUCUGGAAAGAAAAGGAGCAAUCCGGUAUGAGAUGGGCCCGCAUCUGAUUAGCUAGUUGGUGAGAUAACAGCCCACCAAGGCAACGAUCAGUAGCCGACCUGAGAGGGUGAUCGGCCACAUUGGGACUGAGACACGGCCCAAACUCCUACGGGAGGCAGCAGUGGGGAAUAUUGCACAAUGGGGGAAACCCUGAUGCAGCAACGCCGCGUGAAGGAAGACGGUUUUCGGAUUGUAAACUUCUAUCAAUAGGGACGAAAAAAAUGACGGUACCUAAAUAAGAAGCCCCGGCUAACUACGUG